RNAcentral lists this ribosomal RNA (468 nucleotides) under uncultured bacterium. RNAcentral's name for it is "partial 16S ribosomal RNA". It matches the Rfam family "Bacterial small subunit ribosomal RNA", at positions 28 to 507 of the family's 1533-position model. The record is from RNAcentral.
GACGAACGCUGGCGGCGUGCUUAACACAUGCAAGUCGAACGGAAAGGCCCUGCUUUUGUGGGGUGCUCGAGUGGCGAACGGGUGAGUAACACGUGAGUAACCUGCCCUUGACUUUGGGAUAACUUCAGGAAACUGGGGCUAAUACCGGAUAGGAGCUCCUGCUGCAUGGUGGGGGUUGGAAAGUUUCGGCGGUUGGGGAUGGACUCGCGGCUUAUCAGCUUGUUGGUGGGGUAGUGGCUUACCAAGGCUUUGACGGGUAGCCGGCCUGAGAGGGUGACCGGCCACAUUGGGACUGAGAUAAGGCCCAGAAUCCUACGGGAGGCAGCAGUGGGGAAUAUUGCACAAUGGGCGGAAGCCUGAUGCAGCAACGCCGCGUGCGGGAUGACGGCCUUCGGGUUGUAAACCGCUUUCGCCUGUGACGAAGCGUGAGUGACGGUAAUGGGUAAAGAAGAACCGGCUAACUACGUG